AGUGAACGCUGGCGGUAGGCCUAACACAUGCAAGUCGAACGGCAGCACAGUAAGAGCUUGCUCUUACGGGUGGCGAGUGGCGGACGGGUGAGGAAUACAUCGGAAUCUACUUUUUCGUGGGGGAUAACGUAGGGAAACUUACGCUAAUACCGCAUACGACCUACGGGUGAAAGCAGGGGAUCUUCGCACCUUGCGCGAUUGAAUGAGCCGAUGUCGGAUUAGCUAGUUGGCGGGGUAAAGGCCCACCAAGGCGACGAUCCGUAGCUGGUCUGAGAGGAUGAUCAGCCACACUGGAACUGAGACACGGUCCAGACUCCUACGGGAGGCAGCAGUGGGGAAUAUUGGACAAUGGGCGCAAGCCUGAUCCAGCCAUACCGCGUGGGUGAAGAAGGCCUUCGGGUUGUAAAGCCCUCUUGUUGGGAAAGAAAAGCAGCAGGUUAAUACCCCGCUGUUCUGACGGUACCCAAAGAAUAAGCACCGGCUAACUUCGUG
RNAcentral lists this ribosomal RNA (492 nucleotides) under uncultured bacterium. Its description in RNAcentral is "partial 16S ribosomal RNA". It matches the Rfam family "Bacterial small subunit ribosomal RNA", at positions 29 to 507 of the family's 1533-position model. The record is from RNAcentral.